This 414-nucleotide ribosomal RNA is filed under the name bacterium enrichment culture clone ALO1_GLFRUDD03GAQZA. Its description in RNAcentral is "bacterial SSU rRNA". It matches the Rfam family "Bacterial small subunit ribosomal RNA", at positions 9 to 424 of the family's 1533-position model. The record is from RNAcentral.
GAGUUUGAUCUUGGCUCAGAUUGAACGCUGGCGGCAUGCCUUACACAUGCAAGUCGAACGGCAGCACGGGAGCUUGCUCCUGGUGGCGAGUGGCGAACGGGUGAGUAAUGCAUCGGAACGUAUCCUGGAGUGGGGGAUAACGUAGCGAAAGUUACGCUAAUACCGCAUAUUCUGUGAGCAGGAAAGCGGGGGACCUUCGGGCCUCGCGCUCUUGGAGCGGCCGAUGUCGGAUUAGCUAGUUGGUGAGGUAAAGGCUCACCAAGGCGACGAUCCGUAGCAGGUCUGAGAGGAUGAUCUGCCACACUGGAACUGAGACACGGUCCAGACUCCUACGGGAGGCAGCAGUGGGGAAUUUUGGACAAUGGGGGCAACCCGUGAUCCAGCCAUGCCGCGUGAGUGAAGAAGGCCUCGGUU